GACGAACGCUGGCGGCGUGCUUAACACAUGCAAGUCGAACGGAAAGGCACUGCUUUUGUGGGGUGCUCGAGUGGCGAACGGGUGAGUAACACGUGAGUAACCUGCCCUUGACUUUGGGAUAACUUCAGGAAACUGGGGCUAAUACCGGAUAGGAGCUCCUGCUGCAUGGUGGGGGUUGGAAAGUUUCGGCGGUUGGGGAUGGACUCGCGGCUUAUCAGCUUGUUGGUGGGGUAGUGGCUUACCAAGGCUUUGACGGGUAGGCGGCCUGAGAGGGUGACCGGCCACAUUGGGACUGAGGUACGGCCCAGACUCCUACGGGAGGCAGCAGUGGGGAAUAUUGCACAAUGGGCGGAAGCCUGAUGCAGCAACGCCGCGUGCGGGAUGACGGCCUUCGGGCUGUAAACCGCUGUCGCCUGUGACGAAGCGGGAGUGACGGUAAUGGGUAAAGAAGCACCGGCUAACUACGUG
RNAcentral lists this ribosomal RNA (468 nucleotides) under uncultured bacterium. RNAcentral's name for it is "partial 16S ribosomal RNA". It matches the Rfam family "Bacterial small subunit ribosomal RNA", at positions 28 to 507 of the family's 1533-position model. The record is from RNAcentral.